This is a long non-coding RNA of Carassius carassius (crucian carp), 306 nucleotides long. RefSeq lists it as uncharacterized. NCBI's taxonomy places the organism in Eukaryota, Metazoa, Chordata, Actinopteri, Cypriniformes, Cyprinidae. The transcript is spliced from 2 exons. The record is from RefSeq and is a predicted model, not a curated record.
AGACAGACAGCAGGAAGUGUUAGAGAUUCUUUAUUUCAGCAUGUUAAACAUCACGGGAAGGACUGCAGACCUGAUUUAUUCACUCAAGUUGCCUCACAAUCGAAUAUAGAAUUAUUUGCAUAAAGAAAACUCCAUGAAAUGAUCAGAAUCGCUUGUGUUGGAUCCCGGCUGACAGACGGUCAGCUCGUGUUUGUGUGACCACCAAUCUGCAUUACUUCCCAUUUUCUCAAAAGAAUCCAAAAAACAUGAACAUGACACUGAAAACAUUCCGUUAAACUCUUAAUAAACCACAGAGAGAAAGAGAAA